Molecule: ribosomal RNA, 476 nt
Filed under: Nostoc sp. HG1
Lineage: Bacteria; Bacillati; Cyanobacteriota; Cyanophyceae; Nostocales; Nostocaceae
Description: partial 23S ribosomal RNA
Rfam family: Bacterial large subunit ribosomal RNA
Source: RNAcentral
AAAGCAUCGACGCGAGGUUCAAGUCACCCGUACCCCAAACCGACUCAGGUGGUCAGGUAGAGAAUACCAAGGCGAUCGAGUGAACUGUGGUUAAGGAACUCGGCAAAAUGCCCCCGUAACUUCGGGAGAAGGGGGGCCGGAGGCGUGAGAGCGCUGAUGGCCGCAGAGACCAGGGAGAAGCGACUGUUUACUAAAAACACAGGUCCGUGCCAAGUCGCAAGACGAUGUAUACGGACUGACGCCUGCCCGGUGCUGGAACGUUAAGGGGACCGGUCAACCCGUAAGGGUGAAGCUGAGAACUUAAGCGCCAGUAAACGGCGGUGGUAACUAUAACCAUCCUAAGGUAGCGAAAUUCCUUGUCGGGUAAGUUCCCGACCCGCAGCGAAAGGCGUAACGAUCUGGAUGGUGUCUCAGAGAGAGACUCGGCGAAAUAGGAAUGUCUGUGAAGAUACGGACUGCCUGCACCUGGACAGAAA